GUAUACGGGGGAUGCAAGCGUUAUCCGGAAUCAUUGGGCGUAAAGCGCCUGUAGGUUGUUUAAUAAGUCUGUUGUUAAAGACUAGGGCUCAACCCUAGAAAAGCAAUGGAAACUGCUAGACUAGAGUAUGGCAGGGGUAGAGGGAAUUUCUAGUGUAGCGGUGAAAUGCGUAGAUAUUAGAAAGAACACCGGUGGCGAAAGCGCUCUACUGGACCAUUACUGACACUCAGAGGCGAAAGCUAGGGUAGCAAAAGGGAUUAGAUACCCCUGUAGUCCUAGCCGUAAACGAUGGAUACUAGGUGUUGUAUUUAUUUUACAGUAUCGUAGCUAACGCGUUAAGUAUCCCGCCUGGGGAGUACGCUCGCAAGGGUGAAACUCAAAGGAAUUGACGGGGGCCCGCACAAGCGGUGGAGCAUGUGGUUUAAUUCGAUGCAACGCGAAGAACCUUACCAGGGCUUGACAUACUGCGAAUCUCCUUGAAAGAGAAGAGUGCCUUCGGGAAUGCAGAUACAGGUGGUGCAUGGCUGUCGUCAGCUCGUGUCGUGAGAUGUUGGGUUAAGUCCCGCAACGAGCGCAACCCUUGUUUUUAGUUACCAACUUGUUGGGUUUUCUAGAAAGACUGCCGGUGACAAACCGGAGGAAGGUGAGGAUGACGUCAAGUCAGCAUGCCCCUUAUGUCCUGGGCUACACACGUGCUACAAUGGCUAGGACAAAGAGUCGCGAGUUUGCGAAAACAAGCUAAUCUCGUAAACCU
This 754-nucleotide ribosomal RNA is filed under the name Prymnesium neolepis. Its description in RNAcentral is "bacterial SSU rRNA". It matches the Rfam family "Bacterial small subunit ribosomal RNA", at positions 521 to 1283 of the family's 1533-position model. Lineage: Eukaryota; Haptophyta; Prymnesiales; Prymnesiaceae. The record is from RNAcentral.